Acanthosepion pharaonis is the source of this 103-nucleotide non-coding RNA. Lineage: Eukaryota; Metazoa; Mollusca; Cephalopoda; Sepiida; Sepiidae. The record is from the annotation of a GenBank genome assembly.
UCAAGUUAAAACACUGGUUAUCAUACAAUCACCGAAGUUAAGCAACGCCGAGCCUGUUCGGUAUUUUGAUGGGUAACAGCUUGGGGAUACCAGGUGCUGUAAG